Coturnix japonica (Japanese quail) is the source of this 2736-nucleotide non-coding RNA. The record is from RefSeq and is a predicted model, not a curated record. Lineage: Eukaryota; Metazoa; Chordata; Aves; Galliformes; Phasianidae.
CAGAAGGGGGGCAGCCAGGAUCCAUCCCUUUCCAGACUUCAUGUAAGGGUUGGCAAUGGAAGUAAGAUUCUCUUGUUUGAGUUCGCUGUGUACCUGAGGCCUUUUGAAGAGCUCUCAAUUGCAGAACACAAAAUUGUUAUGUUACUUCAUGCAACAAAACUGAGUUUCACAUGGGAACAAGAUUGGACUCCAAAUCAUGAGACUCUGCUUGAAGAAUCUAACAUCAGUUGAAGAAGCUGUUACUUCUCUGCAAGAGGAAUGAAGCAGCUCAGAGCUGAGUUCCUGGGCCUUCCCAACAGCUCAGUGAUGAGGAGCAACUGUAUAAAAGAAGAGUUCUGGGGAAACACACUAACAGCUGUACUCAUCAUCUGGACAGAUUGCAUCCUUGUCUUUGCCACAGGUUUCCUCUGGCACAAAACAUAUCACACAUCACUAAUAUUUGGUUCCUUUUCCAUCAUUUUCAGGAGUUUGUGGAAUUACAGAAGAGUAAUUAAACCAAAUUACUGAUGGUAUUUGGUAUAUUCCAAGUUUUCAGGUAAAGUCUGUCAUUGUGAAUACUAGGUGCAUUACAAUUGAGAUCUGAUACACUUUUUACUUCUUUAUUCCCUAUCCAUGUGGGUUUUGUCUGCUAUACAUCUCCAGGAACUUACUUCACACUUCUAAGAAUGAACUGAAAAUGAAAGAUAACGUUGAAAAUAUAGCUGCUUCAUAAGAAAAUAUCAAAUAUGAUUUCACUCUAUUAUAUAUUCUUGUCUUCUAGAUACAUUCAAGAUCCACUCAAAUGUACAAUGAGAAUUAUUUUCAGAGAUUUAAAUUUAAUUCAUUCUUGUGAAGACAUACAGUAACUCUUCUGCUUUCAGAUAUCACCUGCCAUUGUUAGAUGGUCCUUACACUCUUGCUGUUCUUUUGGCUUUUCUUGCUAUGCAAAUAUAUUUUAUUCUACUGAAAUAUCAAUGUGUUUUUUAGAGCUUGAAUAUUAUUCUACCUAAAACCAACUAUACUGUAGUCAUGCACGAUGCAACUAGUAGAUGAUAGAUUAUGACAGGUGGAGGCAGUAUUUGUACAGCAGAGCCUAAAUAGACUGUUUGUCUAUAGCUUCAGGGCAUAUGAAGAAAGAUUCACUUUUAAAGUAGUCUUUUAAUGUAGAUGUAGCUCCAAUGAAAACAAAAAAUUUCCAAGUGCUAUGAAACUAUAAAUAUGUACAGAGGUUGCUCCAAAACUAAUGCCUCCUGUUUAUUUCUGCAUGCUCUACAUACCUGCUGUGGUUUUCAAUAACACUGUUUGAUAGAGGAAAAUUCUCAGCUACAAAUUCCUAUUGUUCAACAUAAUCACCACUAUUAUCUCUGCAUUUUUACCAGUGAUGAACAAGAGCCUGUAUGCUCUGCUUGUAAAAAUCUCAACCAGAGGUUAUAGACCAUUGUCACUGCUUAAAGCACCAUCCGCCAUCUCACUGUGCUCACAUCUAGUGUUUGGUAUCCAGAAAUAUUCAGCAAGCAUUAAUGAAAGUCAGUGAGGUUCAAUUGUAUUCCACAUGGAGGAAUUCAAUUCCACACCUUUGCUUCAUCUGCACACCCAUGUCAGAUUCCCUUCUGUCAGAUUGCCCCUCUGCUGUCAUCUGUCACAUGGCAAAAAAUGGAACAGAAUAUUGGCAGGAAGGUUCAGCUUCUGUGCCGUAUUGCCAAUGCUUGGCUCUGACAUUUUGAGACAGCAUAAUAAGGUAGGAGGCAUUACUUUUGGAAGCCUUUGGAAAUCUUCAUGGAGCUCCCCAUUCUAAUUGUUCUAAUUUCUGCGUUACUGUAACGUAACAAGACCAACCAAUUUCACUUACCCACCUUAAAGUGGCUGAAGAACUGGAGGUAAACAAAAUAUGAAGAAAGAAAAUGGAACAGUAGAGAGUGUUUAAUGUUUUUUCCCAUAGAAGUAAGUUCAGAAGGAGAACCUAUCUCUGGAUGCUAAGAAGAAAGAGCUUUUGGGGUAGAGAGUUUGUCUCCACUGCCUUCUGGGCUUGCACAGGAACCCUGAAUGAGGUCUGCCUUCCCUUCUCUGUUCCAGCAGCAUUUAUCAUCAGCAAAUAUACCAUACUAUAGCUAUGAUAUAAGAAACAGUUUCAAAGCUUUCUGAUGGCAGACACCAUCCUGGAGGUUCUGGGGAAGAUCAGAGCUGAUGCUUGUGAGAACAAUUAGACCUGUGUAUUUUACAGAUAAAAACAUCCUUUAUUGUCUCUUUUGGCUGGCACUAGAUGUAGUUCAGUAGAAAAGGAUCUUGAGUUCAGGCUGAUAUGUCCAAGACAAUGGUAUGCAUCUGACUCUGGCAACCACUUUCUAUGCUCUUGAGAAUUUAUGUUGUCAGCCAUCCACCUUCAGUGGAUAUGUGAUUCAGAGUAGUAUCUGUGGCACUCAGUAAUACAAAUGCAAAUAGAAAACUGCUGCAACUUGAAAUAAUGCUGGCUCAGAGAUAGUUUGCUAUGUCAUUAUACAGUUUGCUUAAAAUAAUUGAGUAAAAUAAUAUCUCUCAUGGUUGCAUACAAUUAUUUUUGAUUGCUUUCUUAAAUGUGUUCAUAAAAUUUUAUAGUGCCCUUUGUACAACACCUACCAUUUUCCUGACCGGUUAAUGAAUGAUUCUGAGUUACAGCACCUCCAUCUUGUGGUAAACCUGAGAAAUAAAUCUUUCUUAAUGCUAUCUGCCCAAAAGUCCCUUUUAAAAAAAUAUGGUAAUAAAGAUUUGUCCAGGUUUUAA